GAUGAACGCUAGCGGCAGGCUUAAUACAUGCAAGUCGAGGGGCAGCGCAGUGUAGCAAUACAUGGGCGGCGACCGGCAAACGGGUGCGGAACACGUACGCAACCUACCCAAAACUGAUGAAUAGCCCUCCGAAAGGAGGAUUAAUACAUCGUAACAUAAUGAAGUGGCAUCACUUUAUUAUUAUAGCUCCGGCGGUUUUGGAUGGGCGUGCGCCUGAUUAGAUAGUUGGCGGGGUAACGGCCCACCAAGUCUGCGAUCAGUAACUGGUGUGAGAGCACGACCAGUCACACGGGCACUGAGACACGGGCCCGACUCCUACGGGAGGCAGCAGUAAGGAAUAUUGGUCAAUGGACGCAAGUCUGAACCAGCCACGCCGCGUGAAGGAUGAAGGUCCUCUGGAUUGUAAACUUCUUUUAUAUGGGACGAAACCUCUUUUUCUAAAGAGACUGACGGUACCAUAAGAAUAAGCACCGGCUAACUCCGUGCCAGCAGCCGCGGUAAUACGGAGGGUGCAAGCGUUAUCCGGAUUCACUGGGUUUAAAGGGU
This 546-nucleotide ribosomal RNA is filed under the name uncultured Bacteroidota bacterium. RNAcentral describes it as "bacterial SSU rRNA". It matches the Rfam family "Bacterial small subunit ribosomal RNA", at positions 28 to 568 of the family's 1533-position model. Lineage: Bacteria; Pseudomonadati; Bacteroidota. The record is from RNAcentral.